UACAGAGGGGGCUAGCGUUGUUCGGAAUUACUGGGCGUAAAGGGCGCGUAGGCGGCCCGCUAAGUCGGACGUGAAAUCCCCAGGCUCAACCUGGGAACUGCGUCCGAUACUGGAUGGCUUGAAUCCGGGAGAGGGAUGCAGAAUUCCAGGUGUAGCGGUGAAAUGCGUAGAUAUCUGGAGGAAUACCGGUGGCGAAGGCGGCAUCCUGGACCGGCAUUGACGCUGAGGAGCGAAAGCCAGGGGAGCAAACGGG
This 253-nucleotide ribosomal RNA is filed under the name uncultured bacterium. RNAcentral's name for it is "partial 16S ribosomal RNA". It matches the Rfam family "Bacterial small subunit ribosomal RNA", at positions 524 to 776 of the family's 1533-position model. The record is from RNAcentral.